AACGAACGCUGGCGGCAUGCCUAACACAUGCCAGUCGAACGAGACCUUCGGGUCUAGUGGCGCACGGGUGCGUAACGCGUGGGAACCUGCCCUUAGGUUCGGAAUAACUCCCCGAAAGGGGUGCUAAUACCGGAUAAUGUCUUCGGACCAAAGAUUUAUCGCCUUUGGAUGGGCCCGCGUUGGAUUAGCUAGUUGGUAGGGUAAAAGCCUACCAAGGCGACGAUCCAUAGCUGGUCUGAGAGGAUGAUCAGCCACACUGGGACUGAGACACGGCCCAGACUCCUACGGGAGGGAGCAGUGGGGAAUAUUGGACAAUGGGCGAAAGCCUGAUCCAGCAAUGCCGCGUGAGUGAUGAAGGCCUUAGGGUUGUAAAGCUCUUUUAACCGGGAUGAUAAUGACAGUACCGGGAGAAUAAGCCCCGGCUAACUCCGUG
RNAcentral lists this ribosomal RNA (433 nucleotides) under uncultured bacterium. RNAcentral describes it as "partial 16S ribosomal RNA". It matches the Rfam family "Bacterial small subunit ribosomal RNA", at positions 29 to 507 of the family's 1533-position model. The record is from RNAcentral.